This 497-nucleotide ribosomal RNA is filed under the name uncultured bacterium. RNAcentral describes it as "partial 16S ribosomal RNA". It matches the Rfam family "Bacterial small subunit ribosomal RNA", at positions 28 to 507 of the family's 1533-position model. The record is from RNAcentral.
GACGAACGCUGGCGGCGUGCCUAAUACAUGCCAGUAGAACGCUGAAGAGAGGAGCUUGCUCUUCUUGGAUGAGUUGCGAACGGGUGAGUAACGCGUAGGUAACCUGCCUUGUAGCGGGGGAUAACUAUUGGAAACGAUAGCUAAUACCGCAUAACAAUGGAUGACACAUGUCAUUUAUUUGAAAGGGGCAAUUGCUCCACUACAAGAUGGACCUGCGUUGUAUUAGCUAGUAGGUGAGGUAACGGCUCACCUAGGCGACGAUACAUAGCCGACCUGAGAGGGUGAUCGGCCACACUGGGACUGAGACACGGCCCAGACUCCUACGGGAGGCAGCAGUAGGGAAUCUUCGGCAAUGGGGGCAACCCUGACCGAGCAACGCCGCGGGAGUGAAGAAGGUUUUCGGAUCGUAAAGCUCUGUUGUAAGUCAAGAACGAGUGUGAGAGUGGAAAGUUCACACUGUGACGGUAGCUUACCAGAAAGGGACGGCUAACUACGUG